Molecule: ribosomal RNA, 492 nt
Filed under: uncultured bacterium
Lineage: Bacteria
Description: partial 16S ribosomal RNA
Rfam family: Bacterial small subunit ribosomal RNA
Source: RNAcentral
AGUGAACGCUGGCGGUAGGCCUAACACAUGCAAGUCGAACGGCAGCACAGUAAGAGCUUGCUCUUACGGGUGGCGAGUGGCGGACGGGUGAGGAAUACAUCGGAAUCUACUUUUUCGUGGGGGAUAACGUAGGGAAACUUACGCUAAUACCGCAUACGACCUACGGGUGAAAGCAGGGGAUCUUCGGACCUUGCGCGAUUGAAUGAGCCGAUGUCGGAUUAGCUAGUUGGCGAGGUAAAGGCCUACCAAGGCGACGAUCCGUAGCUGACCUGAGAGGAUGAUCGGCCACACUGGAACUGAGACACGGUCCAGACUCCUACGGGAGGCAGCAGUAGGGAAUCUUGCGCAAUGGGCGAAAGCCUGACGGAGCAACGCCGCGUGAGUGAUGAAGGUCUUCGGAUCGUAAAGCUCUGUUAUUAGGAAAGAACAAAUGUGUAAGUAACUAUGCACGUCUUGACGGUACCUAAUCAGAAAGCCACGGCUAACUUCGUG